UACGGGAGGCAGCAGUGGGGAAUAUUGGACAAUGGACCAAAAGUCUGAUCCAGCAAUUCUGUGUGCACGAUGAAGUUUUUCGGAAUGUAAAGUGCUUUCAGUUGGGACGAAGUAAGUGACGGUACCAACAGAAGAAGCGACGGCUAAAUACGUGCCAGCAGCCGCGGUAAUACGUAUGUCGCAAGCGUUAUCCGGAUUUAUUGGGCGUAAAGCGCGUCUAGGCGGUUUGGUAAGUCUGAUGUGAAAAUGCGGGGCUCAACUCCGUAUUGCGUUGGAAACUGCCAAACUAGAGUACUGGAGAGGUGGGCGGAACUACAAGUGUAGAGGUGAAAUUCGUAGAUAUUUGUAGGAAUGCCGAUGGGGAAGCCAGCCCACUGGACAGAUACUGACGCUAAAGCGCGAAAGCGUGGGUAGCAAACAGGAUUAGAUACCCUGGUAGUCCACGCCGUAAACGAUGAUUACUAGGUGUUGGGGGUCGAACCUCAGCGCCCAAGCUAACGCGAUAAGUAAUCCGCCUGGGGAGUACGUACGCAAGUAUGAAACUCAAAGGAAUUGACGGA
Molecule: ribosomal RNA, 560 nt
Filed under: uncultured bacterium
Lineage: Bacteria
Description: bacterial SSU rRNA
Rfam family: Bacterial small subunit ribosomal RNA
Source: RNAcentral